This 5968-nucleotide long non-coding RNA is filed under the name Homo sapiens (human). Its description in RNAcentral is "HSALNT0240161". The record is from RNAcentral. Lineage: Eukaryota; Metazoa; Chordata; Mammalia; Primates; Hominidae.
CCAAUGCUCACCAAGACAAAAAGGCCACGGGCACUCAGCCCCAGAAAGCUCUCGGGAAUGCUCCUACACUUCCUAGGGAAGGAGAAGGUAGCUCUGAGCAGUGGCCAUCAGCCUCAGGGAUUUUUCAGCACCUCUAAUUCUGACAAGCCUAGUGCUGGGUGCACUCUGCUUGGCUGACAUCACAGGGAUCACCCAUUCCCCAGGGCUGGGUCAUCAGAUCCUAUUGGGGCAUGUCAGGAGUCACAUGAGAUGGGAGAGGGAGUGAAAAACACCAAACCAAAGAACAUGAAAUAAUUUCUAAACAUUUUUAUUUCAAAUCUCUUUUCACCCCUCCCCAAAAAGACAUGGGUAGGUACAGCAAUCAUAAAAAGGAGAUACAAACACAAGAGUCAAAUGUCUCUCGCACUGACACUUACAAAAAACUGGGAAUUGUACAUGGGGUUUCCAAACAGGACCUGCAGCAGCUACUAACGUCCCUUUACGAGAGUCAAACAUGCCUAUUAAUACAGUAUAUACAGACACCCCAUUCUGGAACUAAUCUACAGGGACAUCCCUAACCCCACCCCCUCUAUCCCCAGAAAAAUACCAAAACACACCCAAAGUGCAUUUGUUUUGUUUAUAUCAAAACCUCUUUCCCUUUCCCCAUCCCACCCUCAGACCCCUCCCACCCCAUUUAAGAUUGGCCUGCAAGUCUAUUUUAACCAUUUAGUAUUUUUUUAUAGUUUAUGAAAAUAAAUUAUACAGCAACUAUUUUAAUAAAUUAAGCACAAAAGGAAGGGUAAAAGAGGAAAACUAAAUGGGAAGACAAAAGCCAGGCCACGCUUUGGCUUGGAGGAGGGCAGAGGGGGGGCUAACGGAGACAGAAGUGGUUGCAAGGGGUGGCUCCCUUUCUGGUGAAAAAUUGGCAACCACCCCGAGCCCAGAAUGACACCCCUCUUCAUCGAGUUUCUUAAAAACAACCAAAAACGUACAGCAGUGGCUAUGCCACAGGCAGCACCAGUGUGGGCAUUCCAACAGCCAGCUACCCAAAGUGGCACCUGGACCCUACCUGUCCCUUGGACAGGUUCUGGGCCUAAGAGUGAGGGACAGGUCCCCGCCCAAGGGAGCACCAGAGAUGGAGGAGUGAGAGCAGGCUUCUGCUCCACCUGAGCUGGUUAGGGAGCUCAGGACGAAACUCUGAGCGGGGCAGUGUGGUAUGUGAUGAUCCCAGAGUCUGAGGAAGAGUGUCCUAAGUUCCUCACACUCUAUCUCCAGGAGGAACUACGAUCGCAGUCCAGCUGCAACCAAACAUGCAUGUCUUCCCGCCGUGGCUGGCUGCUUUCUGUCUGCCCCUCCAGGCCUCUUGGUGUUGCAGAGGAGGGGGUAGGAGAGGGAAAGGGAACGGUUCCAGGUCACCUCUAAACCCUCUAGAAAUGAAAUGGGAAUGAAGCAGGUCACAAACUCAGCAUGCAGGGCUGGCUUCCCGGGAGGUAGAUGGGAGUGGGACGGGAUAGCAGGUGUGGAGAGGACAGGAAGGGAAACAGGAAGAAACUGAGCGACACCUGCCAGGAAGGUCAAGAAGCAAUGAAAAGGACAAAGACAAUAUGAAAUCUGCAUGAAAAGACAGGUCCUUUUCUGGCAGAUUAGAGAAUCAACAUUUUCAGUACAACUCAUAACGCUACUUUCCUAACUGCAGUACCCGAGUCCCCAGCGCCUGUCUCUAUGAUCCAACCCCCAUUUCACUGCUCCCAAGACUUUGCUCUCCAUUUUAUCAAGGCCUCCAAUCAUUUUGUGCUGAGUGUGAAGGCUCCAAUGUGAAAGCAGGGUCUACCACAGGGACGUGCAGACUUGACCUUUGUGACCCAAUCAUUUUAUAGCUAUCGCAGCAUAGGAGGGGGGCACACUUUUCUUUCUUUUUUUUUUCUUUUUCUUUUUUUAAUAAAAAAGGUUUUACUCCCCAGGAGCAAAUAAAUCAUUUUGAACUACUGAUAAACACUGCUGCAGUGAAAAGAAAGAUGGCUACAUGUAUGCAAUAGCACAAAUUCAGUGGAAGAACAGCUGUGUUGACGAUUAGAGAUAAAAAUCACUUAUCCAUUCCCUCCUUUCCCACAAACCAAACCGAGGAUUCCCAUAGGGAAAAUGUCUAACUCAAUAGCUCCUCCCUUACAUGACAGGGGGUGUGUCAUUCUCUUAACAGUGGAAAACAAAUGCCAGGUCUCCGCCCAGUGGAGAUGCUCUUAACACCCUAACUGGUAGCAAGACUUCUGCAAAUGAGGACACACACACACACACACAUGCAUGCAUAUGCACACACACAGACUCAGACCUCCUUCCAGCAGCCAUAGAGCUUUAUCCCAGUGUCUUGUCCACUAACUUUAGGGCUCCAAAGCUAAGGGAGCGAGGCAGCAGGGAAGGGAAAGAUCUAACUGAAGGAAAAAGCUCCUCCUCGCCCCAGUUUCUGCAGGGAGCAGAGGGCUUCAAGCAGGCCAUGCUUUCCUGGGGGCCCUGGGGUGAGGGCUGACACGGCUGGAUUCCAGGGCACUUCUGGUUCUACUCCCACCUCUCACCCCUAGACCUAGGAACUAUAAUUACCCCCACUCCCUAAUUCUUCCUGGAUGUCUGUUACAGGGGUGUCUGCAGCUAUCUCCACACCAUCCCCAACCUCAAGGGGGGCUUACUCCUGUGCUACCAACAUAGCACACGAAUUUCAAGUAACAGCAAGUUGUAGCAGUAGUUGUCACUGGCUCACAGCAGCUCACUCUCAACCUGAGGAAGGUUACAGUAGAUCAGUCAUAAACAGGUGAGGGUUAUGCAGGCACUGAGGCCACUGAUAUCACCCACCCACAACUUAGGAAUCAACAGUGGGUCCCUAGAUGUAAGCCUUUUCCAAUUUGUGACUUGAAAAUACAACCAGAAAGAAAUUAUUUAUUUUUUUUGAGAUGGAGUCUCACUCUGUCGUCUAGGCUAGAGGGCAGUGGCGCAAUCUCGGCUCAGUGCAACCUCCGCCUCCUGGGUUCAAGCAAUUCUCCUGUCUCAGCCUCCCAAGUAGCUGGGACUACAGGCGCAUGCCACCAUGCCCAGCUAAUUUUUGUAUUUUAGUAGAGAUAGGGUUUCACUGUUUGGCCAAGCUGGUCUUGAACUCCCGACCUCAUGAUCCACCCACCUCAGCCUCCCAAAGUGCUGGGAUUACAGGCGUGAGCCACCGCGCCCAGACCUAGAAAGGAAUACAUUUAAAUGAGCUCUGCACAGCACUGGCGAAGGAGGGACGGGCCUGGUCAGGGAGGUGAAGGGCAGGUGCUGCCACACCUGCUCCUCUGCUCCAUUUACUCUCUGACCAGGCUGUAUCCCAGAGAGCUGGCCCAGCCCCAUGCCUCCCCCUCAUCUUCCCCUAACUGCUCUGUGCAAGGCCACCCAUGCAGGCACCAAACACCCACACCUGACGAAGACUGUCUCCUCUUGCGCUGCUGUUUUGCAGCCCACUCCACAGAGAAAGGACUAGGCUGCGGCCAGGGCUGGGACCAGUGCACUGACACAGACACAGUUCAACACGACACUCCCCAGGAGGAGAAAGGUGGGUGGUGAGGUUGGGUCACACCUCCUCAGUUGGUUUGUUUUGUACCUGAAUGUAUGAGUUCUCCAGAAGAAACCCCAGUAACACAGGGGGUGCAGAGGCUCUGCCUCCCUCACAUGGCCUGAGCUGACCAUAGUGAGGCCCUGGCAAUGGGCAGGAGCCUUGCUGACUCCUUUGGGCUUUGGGCUCCACCUCACCAUCAUAACCCCUUGGCACUCAGGUCUGCCUGGUGGCUGGGAAGCUUCCAUCUAGAAAACCGCACUGGAAAGGAUUCUUUAACCAUGUUGCUCUAACAGGGCUGUGCACUGUUCAGUACAUGCCAUGCAGAUUUCUGCUUCCUUGCUUUUGCUCAUGUGUUUUUCAUCUCACUGUCUGUCCUGCCAUUGACUACAACCCAAAGCCUCAGAGGCACAGAACUUUCCCAGACCAUCUGGUCUACCCUGAUCUUAUCUACUAUAAACGUCUUUAGAUAGUCCUUGAUUUUCUGCUUGAUGUGCAGCAGUCACCUAAAAGCUCCCUUAGGCCACAUAUUACGUCUUUUACCUUUUUUGUUUUCUACAAUAUCUAGCGCAAAGCCAGGCACACACACACUAAAAAAUAAUAUUAAAAUUAUGGGUGGUUGAAAAGGAACAAAAAAAAGAAAGAUCCCAGGCUGUAUAUCAGCCACCCAAGGAUCUCAACAGAUUCCAACUUCAGGCUCUAUAUUGGGGUGGCACUUCCUGCAAGAUGGCGAGUUAUAUUACUUGUACUCUCACGAGGCAACACUCACAUGCUAAGCCAAUUUCUGGGAUCACAAUCUUGCUUAGUUGAUAAUACUACCAUGGAAGCCAAGGAAAGAAGAGGUACCACAUGACAAAUCAGAGGUGGGCUGUGUUUAUGGUGCACAGCUCAUCUUGUGGGCCACCCUUCCACAGUCAGGUAAUGGUGCAAGUUUCCUCCCUGUUCAGCUACAAGGAGGAAGACUGGUCACUCCACGUGGGACUAAGGAAGAAGGCAAUGCUCCCAGAUGAGGCAGUCCUAUAAAUUACCAGGACACUGGGGCCCCACCCAAACCAUCAGGAAGCCACAAACCUGACAUUAGUAUCUGUCUUGUGACACGAGGCAACUAUAAGCAUGGGGAACCCAGAAAGAGAGUCCCAUGGAACACACGCAAAGGAGUCAUGAAGACCCAACAGCUCCACUGUUACAUCUCAAUAGCAAACCUCUCCCCAGAGCAGCUCUAUAAGAAAGCAAACUCACAAUGUCAUAUGAAUUGGCCAUGGCCAGCUGCAGAAACCAUUAAAGACCAUUGGAGUUUUUCUCCCCGCUCCUCCUGAAAGCAGGGACAGGCAGCUCUCAAAUCGGCAUCUGGCAGACUUUCCAGUGAGUGGAGACCAGCAGGAUCUGAUCCGGAAAUGUCUGGGUUGCUAGAAUGAACACAAGAAAAUACAGAAGCCCUUGCUACCUCCCAUCCCAGAAGUGGGAUGGCAGUGAUAAACCUAAAAACGUGAGAUGCGAUGCUCUCCUCUGACCUAAGGAAAUCCCGUGAGGGCUGCGUUCUGAGAGCUUCCUCUAGGAAGAGCACAACUGUGGGAGCUGUAUUUCUCACCUUCCUCCACAUUCCCCCUCACAAGCUGACAGGCACAUGGAAGUAACACUCACUCCUAAGUCAUGAGUACAGUUUGCCAUGAAGAACCUGGAAACAUGCUCCAUUAAAUUCAGCAGCCCAUGACUGGCUCUGAACCGCCCAGGUGAUGGGAAACACGAUUGCCAUGACAGCUGGCAGAAGCAAUAGGGAUGCUGUUACCAUGAUCAGAGUGACAUGUACAGUUAUCUCAAGGGGCAAUGGGUUGAGAGCAGAGGAAGAACGGGGUUAACUUCAGGUCAUGGAACUUAAGGAAUUAAGUAAAUCACAACUAGUACAGCUUCCAUGAGAGGUGUUUCUGAACUCAGGUUCCUAAACCUUAAAAAAGGAUGCAGGAGUCACUACUUCUCCCAGCUAAGGCCAAUUGGCUAGGUUUUGCCCAAUAUUCUUUUCGAGACCACCCACCCUCCUUUCUCUCCUGCUCCUACAACAGCUGCCCAUGGCAACAAGAGGCAGAUUCCCCCUUCCUCAGGAACUCCCAGUCCUUUGCAAACCUCAAGCCCCUCCUCCCAUCUUCCAGGCCCACAGCACAGACUCUAACUCUGCCUUUGGCACCAGCUGAAUGGCCGUCCCCUGUUCCCUCCUCCCACCCCUUCUUUGGACCUGCUCACCCUUCGCACCACUUUCAAUCCAACGGGCACAAACCCCAACUGCCUUCAAGGUGAGUUUUCCAUACCAAGUAAUAUAAAUAUCAAAAACAAAACUUCUGAAAAAGAAACAGUGUUGAGACUUCUUCCAGUUUUCCAAGGAGCCCCUCCAGUCCUAAGAUGCCCAGGGGUGGGUGUGAGGUGGAG